This 65-nucleotide transfer RNA is filed under the name Neobisnius villosulus. RNAcentral's name for it is "tRNA-Phe". Lineage: Eukaryota; Metazoa; Arthropoda; Insecta; Coleoptera; Staphylinidae. The record is from RNAcentral.
AUUUAAAUAGCUUAUUUAGAGCAUGAUAUUGAAGAUAUCAAGGAGAUAUAAUUUAUCUUUAAAUA